GGCCUAACACAUGCAAGUCGAACGCGAAAGGGGCUUCGGCCCUGAGUAGAGUGGCGAACGGGUGAGUAACACGUGGGUGAUCUACCUCUGAGUGGGGGAUAACGUUCCGAAAGGAGCGCUAAGACCGCAUGACGUUCCGGGUUUGAAGACCGGGAAACCAAAGUCGGGGACCGCAAGGCCUGACGCUUGGAGAGGAGCCCGCGCCUGAUUAGCUAGUUGGUGGGGUAAUGGCUCACCAAGGCGACGAUCAGUAGCCGGCCUGAGAGGGCGGACGGCCACACUGGGACUGAGACACGGCCCAGACUCCUACGGGAGGCAGCAGUGGGGAAUUGUUCGCAAUGGGCGCAAGCCUGACGACGCAACGCCGCGUGGAGGAUGAAGGUCUUCGGAUUGUAAACUCCUGUUGACCGGGACGAAUGGGCUUCGACCUAACACGUCGGGGCAGUGACGGUACCGGUUGAGGAAGCCACGGCUAACUCUGUGCCAGCAGCCGCGGUAAUACAGAGGUGGCAAGCGUUGUUCGGAAUUACUGGGCGUAAAGGGCGCGUAGGCGGCCUUCUAAGUCGGACGUGAAAUCCCCAGGCUUAACUUGGGAACUGCGUCCGAUACUGGAGGGCUUGAGUGCGGGAGAGGGAUGUGGAAUUCCAGGUGUAGCGGUGAAAUGCGUAGAUAUCUGGAGGAACACCGGUGGCGAAGGCGGCAUCCUGNACCGACACUGACGCUGAGGC
This 728-nucleotide ribosomal RNA is filed under the name uncultured bacterium. RNAcentral describes it as "bacterial SSU rRNA". It matches the Rfam family "Bacterial small subunit ribosomal RNA", at positions 45 to 752 of the family's 1533-position model. The record is from RNAcentral.